This 253-nucleotide ribosomal RNA is filed under the name uncultured prokaryote. Its description in RNAcentral is "partial 16S ribosomal RNA". It matches the Rfam family "Bacterial small subunit ribosomal RNA", at positions 524 to 776 of the family's 1533-position model. The record is from RNAcentral.
UACGGGGGGGGCAAGCGUUGUUCGGAAUUACUGGGCGUAAAGGGCUCGUAGGCGGCCAACUAAGUCAGACGUGAAAUCCCUCGGCUUAACCGGGGAACUGCGUCUGAUACUGGUUGGCUUGAAUCCGGGAGAGGGAUGUGGAAUUCCAGGUGUAGCGGUGAAAUGCGUAGAUAUCUGGAGGAACACCGGUGGCGAAGGCGGCUCACUGGGGGUCUUCUGACGCUGAGGAACGAAAGCCAGGGGAGCGAACGGG